CUAUUGCAGACAAAUACCCCCUGGGUCAUUGCUCCCACUCUUUAUGGACUCUAUAACUGAAAGUAAACUGAGCUGCUAGAGCCAUGAGGAGGGGGAAUUGGCAGGUGAGAGAUACCUCCAGGCAAGAUAAGAUGACGGCUACGUGGGGUCUCACCAACACUGGACUUUGUCGUAUGCCCAGAUGCCACGUAAGCGAAGCUUCCAGGCACCCGGCGUUUCCACAGCCAAAUUGCCUCCAGCCCUUAAAUCCAGCAUCCCAGCCAAUGCCCACUUCCUGCUUCCUCCCCAGCCGCGACAUCCACUUCCUGUCAUUCUUCCACCACCAAGCAAAAUCAGAUUGCCACGAUUAUGCUUUUCCUUGGAAUAACUGCCCUGCAGGACAAAUGAGAAGAUGUAGGGAUAUUUGUUCUGCCCCUGGCUUAGAUUGCCUUUCUCUGACUUUUUAAAACAGAUUUUAUAGCUCUUCCCCCCUCCACCCCCAUUUACCUUGGCUACAUCAUGUUAACGUUCAAUGAGUAAUUUGCACAACCAUCUUCCUGACAAUAUUGCUUCUAUAAUAUUUAUGAAGAUUAUUUUGCAGGAGUGUUUAAACUUUUCAGAUUCAUUUUUGAAGAAGAGAGGAAAUGUAACUUUGUUUUUUAAAAAAUCAAUCAAAACUGAGUGGCAGAUGGAAGCCAAUCAGUUCUAAAUAGCUGCAUUUUCUCCUAUGAAGGUGUUGGCCCUUUUUGGAUGUGAGAAGAAAUGUUUUCCUCCUAUAUAAAUUGGCUCAGAGGUCUAUCAUUUUUUCCAGAUUCCUCGUUAGUUGGUAGGUGGAAGGGCUUCCUUGAACCAUCUGGAAUUGUUCCUUUACUUCAAAAUCGC
Rhineura floridana is the source of this 861-nucleotide long non-coding RNA. RefSeq lists it as uncharacterized. The record is from RefSeq and is a predicted model, not a curated record. The transcript has 3 exons. NCBI's taxonomy places the organism in Eukaryota, Metazoa, Chordata, Lepidosauria, Squamata, Rhineuridae.